This 625-nucleotide ribosomal RNA is filed under the name uncultured Actinomycetes bacterium. RNAcentral describes it as "bacterial SSU rRNA". It matches the Rfam family "Bacterial small subunit ribosomal RNA", at positions 252 to 866 of the family's 1533-position model. The record is from RNAcentral. Lineage: Bacteria; Bacillati; Actinomycetota; Actinomycetes.
GUGGGGUAACGGCCUACCAAGGCGAUGACGGGUAGCUGGCGUGAGAGCGCGACCAGUCACACUGGGACUGAGACACGGCCCAGACUCCUACGGGAGGCAGCAGUGGGGAAUAUUGCGCAAUGGGCGAAAGCCUGACGCAGCGACGCCGCGUGGGGGAGGAAGGCCUCAGGGUUGUAAACCCCUGUCAGGUGGGACGAACCCCGGAUCGAGUAAUACACGGUCCGACUGACGGUACCACCAGAGGAAGCUCCGGCUAACUCCGUGCCAGCAGCCGCGGUAAUACGGAGGGAGCUAGCGUUGUUCGGAAUUACUGGGCGUAAAGGGCGCGUAGGCGGUCGGGUAAGUCGGGUGUGAAAUCCCGGGGCUCAACCCCGCGAACUGCAUCCGAUACUGCUCGACUUGAGAGAGGUAGGGGCGAGUGGAAUUCCCGGUGUAGCGGUGGAAUGCGUAGAUAUCGGGAAGAACACCGGUGGCGAAGGCGGCUCGCUGGACCUUUUCUGACGCUGAAGCGCGAAAGCGUGGGGGGCAAACAGGAUUAGAUACCCUGGUAGUCCACGCCGUAAACGAUGGGUACUAGGUGUUGGGAGGAUUGACCCUUUCAGUGCCGACGCUAACGCAUUAAGUA